UGCCGACGUGGAUAACAGUAUCCCUAUACUCUCUACACUCACCAGUUUUAGCCUUCGCCAGCACCAGCUUCAGAAUAGCCUUAACAUCGGUAGCCCUGCACCCUGUCUGAGGCUGGAACCCUACUGGCAGCACUUGACUACAGCCUUUGUAACCAUCAUCCAACCUUGGAGAACGCAUAGGGCAACAUGAUCUAAAGAAGACUCUACAAUAGCAAGCUUCGAAGGUGAAGUGUCUACGCAUUGAAAACUACAAAGGACUACAUUGACAUCCCAGAGCUUCAGAGAGAAGUGUUGAGAAGACUGGGCUCUCAAUUGGGGCUACCAAGGAGAAUGAUCCUGUGAUCAGAUGACCCAAGACUCCCUGAAGUGCCACACCAACAAUGGCUGAGCUGCUACAACUUCGAGAAGUCACCACGCAACACAGGGUGCAGUAAGCUGGGAAGGACUGGAGAUUUCCUUGCUGUCAGAUUUGGUGGUUCCCGGGAGGUGUGAAAAUAUACAGAGUACUCAGAAUUGUUGUUAAAAGUGGUGGGCCUACAACCAAACAUAUAAAUCAAAUAAAUCAGGGAAGUUUGUGGUGGCAAGCUAAGCUAUCCUGGAUAAAAAUUAACACAUUUACAAAAAGGGAAAUUCCUAGGAGGACUAUCCGUACCAAACGAUAAAUUGUAUUUCCAGGCACUAGCAUUUUGCCCCAUCCUAAAUUGGUUUAGACAUGAUUCUUCCGUCCCCUUGGCUGAGUAUAGAGAGACAUAUGGUAUCUCCUUUUGCCCUGGAAGAGGUGGCCUUCACU
Molecule: non-coding RNA, 790 nt
Organism: Salmo salar (Atlantic salmon)
Lineage: Eukaryota; Metazoa; Chordata; Actinopteri; Salmoniformes; Salmonidae
Source: RefSeq, a predicted model, not a curated record